CGAGCACAUCCAAAACAUAUAA
Molecule: microRNA, 22 nt
Filed under: Drosophila virilis
Lineage: Eukaryota; Metazoa; Arthropoda; Insecta; Diptera; Drosophilidae
Description: dvi-miR-9708a-5p
Source: miRBase by way of RNAcentral